CACUUAUAGAUGGAUCCGCGCUGCAUUAGCUAGUUGGUAAGGUAWCGGCUUACCAAGGCAACGAUGCAUAGCCGACCUGAGAGGGUGAUCGGCCACACUGGAACUGAGACACGGUCCAGACUCCUACGGGAGGCAGCAGUAGGGAAUCUUCCGCAAUGGGCGAAAGCCUGACGGAGCAACGCCGCGUGAGUGAUGAAGGUCUUCGGAUCGUAAAACUCUGUUAUUAGGGAAGAACAUAUGUGUAAGUAACUGUGCACAUCUUGACGGUACCUAAUCAGAAAGCCACGGCUAACUACGUGCCAGCAGCCGCGGUAAUACGUAGGUGGCAAGCGUUAUCCGGAAUUAUUGGGCGUAAAGCGCGCGUAGGCGGUUUUUUAAGUCUGAUGUGAAAGCCCACGGCUCAACCGUGGAGGGUCAUUGGAAACUGGAAAACUUGAGUGCAGAAGAGGAAAGUGGAAUUCCAUGUGUAGCGGUGAAAUGCGCAGAGAUAUGGAGGAACACCAGUGGCGAAGGCGACUUUCUGGUCUGUAACUGACGCUGAUGUGCGAAAGCGUGGGGAUCAAACAGGAUUAGAUACCCUGGUAGUCCACGCCGUAAACGAUGAGUGCUAAGUGUUAGGGGGUUUCCGCCCCUUAGUGCUGCAGCUAACGC
Molecule: ribosomal RNA, 651 nt
Filed under: uncultured bacterium
Lineage: Bacteria
Description: bacterial SSU rRNA
Rfam family: Bacterial small subunit ribosomal RNA
Source: RNAcentral